CCUACGGGCGGCUGCAGUGAGGAAUAUUGGUCAAUGGACGAGAGUCUGAACCAGCCAAGUAGCGUGAAGGAUGACUGCCCUAUGGGUUGUAAACUUCUUUUAUAUGGGAAUAAAAUGUUCCACGUGUGGGAUUUUGUAUGUACCAUAUGAAUAAGGAUCGGCUAACUCCGUGCCAGCAGCCGCGGUAAUACGGAGGAUCCGAGCGUUAUCCGGAUUUAUUGGGUUUAAAGGGAGCGUAGGUGGAUUGUUAAGUCAGUUGUGAAAGUUUGCGGCUCAACCGUAAAAUUGCAGUUGAAACUGGCAGUCUUGAGUACAGUAGAGGUGGGCGGAAUUCGUUGUGUAGCGGUGAAAUGCUUAGAUAUCACGAAGAACUCCGAUUGCGAAGGCAGUUCACUGGACUGCAACUGACACUGAGGCUCGAAAGUGUGGGUAUCAAACAGGAUUAGAUACCCUAGUAGUC
This 460-nucleotide ribosomal RNA is filed under the name uncultured bacterium. RNAcentral describes it as "partial 16S ribosomal RNA". It matches the Rfam family "Bacterial small subunit ribosomal RNA", at positions 338 to 795 of the family's 1533-position model. The record is from RNAcentral.